Molecule: ribosomal RNA, 407 nt
Filed under: uncultured bacterium
Lineage: Bacteria
Description: partial 16S ribosomal RNA
Rfam family: Bacterial small subunit ribosomal RNA
Source: RNAcentral
GACGAACGCUGGCGGCGUGCCUAAUACAUGCAAGUAGAACGCAGUUGCGAACGGGUGAGUAACGCGUAGGUAACUGCCUGGUAGCGGGGGAUAACUAUUGGAAACGAUAGCUAAUACCGCAUACUACCAGAUGGACCUGCGUUGUAUUAGCUAGUUGGUGGGGUAACGGCUCACCAAGGCAACGAUACCUAGCCGACCUGGGAGGGUGAUCGGCCAACCUGGGAAUGGGACCCGGCCCAGGCUCCUAAGGGAGGCAGCAGGAGGGAAUCUUCGGCAAUGGGCGGAAGGCUGACCGAGCAACGCCGCGUGGGUGAAGAAGGUUUUCGGAUCGUAAAGCUCUGUUGUAAGGGAAGCGGUAUCUUACCAGAAAGGGACGGCUAACUACGUGCCAGCAGCCGCGGUAAUUC